GACGAACGCUGGCGGCGUGCCUAAUACAUGCAAGUAGGACGCACAGUUUAUACCGUAGCUUGCUACACCAUAGACUGUGAGUUGCGAACGGGUGAGUAACGCGUAGGUAACCUGCCUAUUAGAGGGGGAUAACUAUUGGAAACGAUAGCUAAUACCGCAUAACAGUAUGUAACACAUGUUAGAUGCUUGAAAGAUGCAAUUGCAUCGCUAGUAGAUGGACCUGCGUUGUAUUAGCUAGUAGGUAGGGUAAUGGCCUACCUAGGCGACGAUACAUAGCCGACCUGAGAGGGUGAUCGGCCACACUGGGACUGAGACACGGCCCAGACUCCUACGGGAGGCAGCAGUAGGGAAUCUUCGGCAAUGGGGGGAACCCUGACCGAGCAACGCCGCGUGAGUGAAGAAGGUUUUCGGAUCGUAAAGCUCUGUUGUUAAGGAAGAAACGAGUGUGAGAAUGGAAAGUUCAUACUGU
This 469-nucleotide ribosomal RNA is filed under the name Streptococcus anginosus. Its description in RNAcentral is "bacterial SSU rRNA". It matches the Rfam family "Bacterial small subunit ribosomal RNA", at positions 28 to 476 of the family's 1533-position model. The record is from RNAcentral. Lineage: Bacteria; Bacillati; Bacillota; Bacilli; Lactobacillales; Streptococcaceae.